This 1255-nucleotide long non-coding RNA is filed under the name Sorghum bicolor (sorghum). Its description in RNAcentral is "long non-coding RNA (SBIC_LNC003263)". The record is from RNAcentral. Lineage: Eukaryota; Viridiplantae; Streptophyta; Magnoliopsida; Poales; Poaceae.
AGGAACUCAGCAUAUAAUUAAAUCAAGACGUGCAUGUGUGAUGGAGUAAAUGAUAGUGAUGGUGAAAAUGCAUAAGUGAUAAUAAAAUUUACUUCUCAUUGCUCCUCAUAUUGCUAUCUCUCCUCUUCUUUGAUCUUUGCUUUGGGAGAACAUGGGCUAUCUUUUUUUCCUCUCUUCUUCUUUUUUUUCAGGUGGGUAGUAGAUACCCUUAAUUCUACUGUCGGACACUUGUCCAUUUUUUCCGCUCAAGUGGGCAUCUUUGUACCCCUAAUUCUACUUCGGACACUUGUCCAUUUUUACCUCUCAUCUCACUCUUUUUCUUUCUUUUUCGAGGUUCCGGGCACUUGCCCCUUUUUAUUUCCUCGCAUAUUUUUGCAUAACCCAUGCCUCUUCUGCAUUGAAUCUUUUUAGCGAGAGAAUAACAAUAUUCGGGACAGUGAGUGAUACUAUUUUUAGCAAUUUUAAUGAUUGGUGAUGAAUGCUGUGGUAGAUGUGUGCAAGUGAAUAUCUUAAUUUAACCACAUGAAAAGCUCCUAAGGGUCUACACAGCUCGAUCAAACUCAAUGUGAAUAUAGUAAAAGAUGUUAUAGCAAGUAUGGCUGUGGUAGGUAGUUUUGUUAUGCUAGGAACUCAUCAUGCGAUUUGUAAGUUUUCAAAAUAAAUCUCCAGAACUUAGUGUAGUAGAAACAAGAUAAACAGUAGCUCAACUUUAUAUCAUGCCUUUCUCUUACCUUGACUUUAGUAACACCCUAGGUGUUAAGCAUGCAUUUAGUCCCCUCACAACAUGCAUAAGCAUCCUCAUCAAUCAUAAGCAUCACGAGCAUGUCAUUCUCUUCAAGUAUGAUUUUAUGUGCAUCAUUUCAUGAGUUUUAAACAUGUUAAAAAUGUGAUGCUUGCUUUAAAAAUUGGGAAAUAUUCAAACUAGGUUGGUUUAUGUGUAAGAAGAAUUGAGAACAUUUUUGUGCAAUUUUUGGAGCCAGGGAAAUUGAGAAAUGGAAUUUAUACAAAAAUAUCCAAAAAGAAUUUAUUUGAAAACCUAGAACUAGUUUUGUUUUGCAAUUCAAAUUCUAUUGGGAAUUUGAUUUGGCUUAUUAAAGCAAAGUUGUAGAGUUUUUAUUUUGGAACAAUUUUGUUUUUGGGAGCAAGAGGUGAAAAUGCUUUUUGGCUGGUCCAAAUAAUUUUAGAAAGGAAUUUGGAAAAAAAAAUUCAAAAAAAAAGAAAGGGGGAGCUGUUCACUGGCGGGCCGGCGCCAACC